RNAcentral lists this unclassified non-coding RNA (410 nucleotides) under Corethrogyne filaginifolia. RNAcentral's name for it is "partial external transcribed spacer". Lineage: Eukaryota; Viridiplantae; Streptophyta; Magnoliopsida; Asterales; Asteraceae. The record is from RNAcentral.
UUGGUUUGAUACGGGUGGUCGGCUCCCUGCUUGAGCAGGCACGGCCACGCGUGCAUUCCUUUUCAGAUGUGCGGCAAGGCUACUAUGGUCUUGAUCGUAUAAGUGGGUUUCCUGUGUUGAAUACCUGAUCAACGGCAUCGUUUCGAUCAAAAGCGUACCUUUUUCGUCUAGUGUUGCACCCGCACCAUUGGAUGAACCGUGUAGCAUUCUCUUUGAUCCAUACAAUUGACAUUCAUUGUUAGUUGUUUGGCCCAUUGAGCGUGUCUUGGUCCCUUGAAUAUGGAAGCCAAAGUGGGCACGGGAUCGCAAGAUCCGUUUAGUGCCCUAAUUGAGCGUUUUCGCUUCUCUUACACGACUGCCUCUCACGUAUGGCACGUCCCAGCGUGUUUGGCUAUGUCGAAGAGGAAUGU